RNAcentral lists this transfer RNA (74 nucleotides) under Loxodonta africana (African savanna elephant). It matches the Rfam family "tRNA". Rfam says of the family: Transfer RNA (tRNA) molecules are approximately 80 nucleotides in length. Their secondary structure includes four short double-helical elements and three loops (D, anti-codon, and T loops). Further hydrogen bonds mediate the characteristic L-shaped molecular structure. tRNAs have two regions of fundamental functional importance: the anti-codon, which is responsible for specific mRNA codon recognition, and the 3' end, to which the tRNAs corresponding amino acid is attached (by aminoacyl-tRNA synthetases). tRNAs cope with the degeneracy of the genetic code in two manners: having more than one tRNA (with a specific anti-codon) for a particular amino acid; and 'wobble' base-pairing, i.e. permitting non-standard base-pairing at the 3rd anti-codon position. Lineage: Eukaryota; Metazoa; Chordata; Mammalia; Proboscidea; Elephantidae. The record is from Rfam by way of RNAcentral.
CCCUGAGUGGUGAAAAUGGUCAGCAUACUCAGCUGCUAAUUGAAAGGUUGGUGGUUCGAGUCCACCCAGAGGCA